CUUACAUGAUGAUUUUAUUCGUACCGCCCCAGUCUGAAGAGACGUGUUGAUUGGUUAUUUAUACUGAUA
This is a small nucleolar RNA of Drosophila melanogaster (fruit fly), 69 nucleotides long. The record is from Ensembl. Lineage: Eukaryota; Metazoa; Arthropoda; Insecta; Diptera; Drosophilidae.